UGAAUAUGGCCUCUAAUAAGUCCAAAAUUAUCUAAUGCAUAUUUUCAUUUUAGCUGAUAAAAAAAAGUCACUCAACGGCUCGAUUGUUCCCUCACUGCCCAACCUUCGUCUUCUUCAACCUCAAAUCCCUCAUUCUCUCUAUUUACCAAAAAAAAAAAAAAUCCCUCAUUCUCUCUGUCCCUCUUCAUCUGGUUGAAGGCUUGAAGCAAAGGCGAAUCGCGGCUCAGCCUUAGGAGCCAGGUAGCAAGCUCUCUCUCUCCCUCUUUGUCUGGUUGAAACCAAGUCGAAUCGUCCUCAGCGGCUCAGCCUCUCAGCCUCAGGUUUAGGUGAUCAGGUCGAGGGCAUUCAGUUUGUACUUGGACUCUAGCUAGACUUGGUGCCGAGGUCUCAGUAUUCAAUAAAGCUAUUGAUUUUUCAGUUCUUGGAAAUGGCGAGGGGUCUAAUAUGGGCAACCACAGAGGACUUGGCGCGUAACAGAGGUAGAGUCCUUUCUCUAUAUCGCCAAUUGCUGAGGAGCCUUAAUUCUCCCAAGUUGCCACUAAACUUAGCAGCGAGAUUGGCCAAGAAAGCAGAGCUCCGUACUACCUUCAUGCUGGGUUCUGAAGAGCAUUCCCUCCACAACAUCGCUGACCUCAUUGAUGCUGCUGAGUACUCUCUCUCCCUUCUAAAGAAAGGUGAAAUCCCCAAAUACAUCCAGUGACUGAGUAUCAUGUCCCUUGAGUAUUGACAAAAGAGGGCAAAAGAUAGAUAGGAGAAGAGAAAUUAGAGCGGAAUAAAAUCCUCUGGAGGAACCAAGUUUCCGGUGGCUUUCCUUCUAUCCUGGACCAGGCGUCUCCAUUGGACAAGUUAGCAUCUCAACAGGAAGAAGAGGAAGAGGAUGAGGAUGAUGAGAAAGGAGGGGGAAAAUCGUUCAUAAAACAAGGAAGCAGGAAAGCCAAUAAAUGAAUUUAAAGCGUAUCCCCUUUUUGUAAUUUUGGGAUUACAGAAAAACCUAAAGCAAAAGGAUACUUGCAGAAUCCUGAAGGCCCGAGAGCUAGUAUUGGCAGAGGACCGCAAGUAGAUUAUUAACCCUUUUGAUAUUGGAAGUGGUUUUAUUGGACUAUACAAUUACCUACAUCAUUGUAGAUGAGAUGAGAUUGAAAUUUUAUGGAUAGAUAGACCAAA
This is a long non-coding RNA of Macadamia integrifolia, 1164 nucleotides long. RefSeq lists it as uncharacterized. NCBI's taxonomy places the organism in Eukaryota, Viridiplantae, Streptophyta, Magnoliopsida, Proteales, Proteaceae. The record is from RefSeq and is a predicted model, not a curated record. The transcript is spliced from 4 exons.